This 433-nucleotide ribosomal RNA is filed under the name uncultured bacterium. Its description in RNAcentral is "partial 16S ribosomal RNA". It matches the Rfam family "Bacterial small subunit ribosomal RNA", at positions 29 to 507 of the family's 1533-position model. The record is from RNAcentral.
AGCGAACGCUGGCGGCAGGCCUAACACAUGCAAGUCGAACGAACUCUUCGGAGUUAGUGGCGGACGGGUGAGUAACACGUGGGAACGUGCCUUUAGGUUCGGAAUAUCUCAGGGAAACUUGUGCUAAUACCGAAUGUGCCCUUCGGGGGAAAGAUUUAUCGCCUUUAGAGCGGCCCGCGUCUGAUUAGCUAGUUGGUGAGGUAAAGGCUCACCAAGGCGACGAUCAGUAGCUGGUCUGAGAGGAUGAUCAGCCACAUUGGGACUGAGACACGGCCCAAACUCCUACGGGAGGCAGCAGUGGGGAAUCUUGCGCAAUGGGCGAAAGCCUGACGCAGCCAUGCCGCGUGAAUGAUGAAGGUCUUAGGAUUGUAAAAUUCUUUCACCGGGGACGAUAAUGACGGUACCCGGAGAAGAAGCCCCGGCUAACUUCGUG